This 21-nucleotide non-coding RNA is filed under the name Rattus norvegicus (Norway rat). The record is from RNAcentral. Lineage: Eukaryota; Metazoa; Chordata; Mammalia; Rodentia; Muridae.
CUGAGGUAUACUAUGGUACAA